UAGGGAAUAUUGGGCAAUGGGCGCAAGCCUGACCCAGCCAUGCCGCGUGCCGGAAGAAGGCCCUCUGGGUUGUAAACGGCUUUUGACGGGGAAGAAACGACCCUUGCGAGGGGCAUUGACGGUACCCGCAGAAUAAGCACCGGCUAACUCCGUGCCAGCAGCCGCGGUAAUACGGAGGGUGCGAGCGUUGUCCGGAUUUAUUGGGUUUAAAGGGUGCGUAGGCGGUCUGGUAAGUCGGCGGUGAAAGCCCGGGGCUCAACCCCGGAACUGCCAUCGAUACUGUCGGACUGGAGUGUGGUGGAGGCUGGCGGAAUGGGCGGUGUAGCGGUGAAAUGCAUAGAUACCGUCCAGAACCCCGAUUGCGAAGGCAGCUGGCUGUACCAUUACUGACGCUGAGGCACGAAAGCGUGGGGAGCGAACAGG
This 423-nucleotide ribosomal RNA is filed under the name Actinomycetes bacterium. Its description in RNAcentral is "Actinobacteria bacterium partial 16S ribosomal RNA". It matches the Rfam family "Bacterial small subunit ribosomal RNA", at positions 355 to 776 of the family's 1533-position model. The record is from RNAcentral. Lineage: Bacteria; Bacillati; Actinomycetota; Actinomycetes.